UACAGAGGUGGCAAGCGUUGUUCGGAAUUACUGGGCGUAAAGGGCGCGUAGGCGGCCAUCUAAGUCAGACGUGAAAUCCCCGGGCUUAACCUGGGAACUGCGUUUGAAACUACAAGGCUAGAGUGUAGCAGAGGGGGGUGGAAUUCCACGUGUAGCAGUGAAAUGCGUAGAGAUGUGGAGGAACACCGAUGGCGAAGGCAGCCCCCUGGGUUAACACUGACGCUCAGGCACGAAAGCGUGGGGAGCAAACAGG
RNAcentral lists this ribosomal RNA (253 nucleotides) under uncultured bacterium. RNAcentral's name for it is "partial 16S ribosomal RNA". It matches the Rfam family "Bacterial small subunit ribosomal RNA", at positions 524 to 776 of the family's 1533-position model. The record is from RNAcentral.